This 446-nucleotide ribosomal RNA is filed under the name uncultured bacterium. Its description in RNAcentral is "partial 16S ribosomal RNA". It matches the Rfam family "Bacterial small subunit ribosomal RNA", at positions 338 to 795 of the family's 1533-position model. The record is from RNAcentral.
CCUACGGUGCGCAGUAGUCGAGAAUCAUUCACAAUGGGGGAAACCCUGAUGGUGCGACGCCGCGUGGGGGAAUGAAGGUCUUCGGAUUGUAAACCCCUGUCAUGUGGGAGCAAAUUAAAAAGAUAGUACCACAAGAGGAAGAGACGGCUAACUCUGUGCCAGCAGCCGCGGUAAUACAGAGGUCUCAAGCGUUGUUCGGAAUCACUGGGCGUAAAGCGUGCGUAGGCUGUUUCGUAAGUCGUGUGUGAAAGGCGCGGGCUCAACCCGCGGACGGCACAUGAUACUGCGAGACUAGAGUAAUGGAGGGGGAACCGGAAUUCUCGGUGUAGCAGUGAAAUGCGUAGAUAUCGAGAGGAACACUCGUGGCGAAGGCGGGUUCCUGGACAUUAACUGACGCUGAGGCACGAAGGCCAGGGGAGCGAAAGGGAUUAGAUACCCUAGUAGUC